ACAUUCACCUUCUUCAAGAAUGUGGUCCAAAGAAUUUAGGUUUCUUAAUGUUCUCCGACCUUUCGUUCCUUUCAGGUAAUGGAUUUUCUGGAAAACAUUCAAGACGAAUCGUCAUGACAAUUAUAUGGAUCGCAAUGUUUAAGCGCUGCAUCUACAGCUAUAAAAAGGUACGACUACAUACGGUAAACAUCAUCAUCAUAACACUCAAAAAAAAUGAUACUUCUUAUUGCAAGAGAAUGGGUAAUGGAUCUCUGCUGUUCUGAAACUCGCCGGUGUGCUUUCUCCAUGGAAUUGGAUUUCUGCGACCAUCAUGGAAGCCACCAUGGAGUUAAGUCUCGGCCAGUCUCCGGUGGAAGCGGUCGUAUGUGUUGAAUCGUCUAGAUUUUUUCUCACCGGCUAUGUGAAUCUGCAACCGAUACAGAGUACCGCAAUCAUUAGCAACUGGACUCGAGUCACUUAACUAUCGUUACGGACUGGAAUCAUAUCUUUACAUCUUCCUCCUCUUCACUAUCACCAAGAGUAGAAAGAUACCAUCAUGAAGGCUUGAGUCGAUCUGUAGUUUUUUUUUCAAGAUAUAGCAAACAAAAUUGCACAGCCUAAGUUAUUGAGAAGCUUUGCAAUCUGGUGUUUGGAUUUUAUUUAUAAAUUUAGAAUAAUCGUUUUGAAUGAAAAUGAGCUCUGUCGAUCGCUUGA
Molecule: long non-coding RNA, 693 nt
Organism: Raphanus sativus (radish)
Lineage: Eukaryota; Viridiplantae; Streptophyta; Magnoliopsida; Brassicales; Brassicaceae
Exons: 3
Source: RefSeq, a predicted model, not a curated record